CUGGGAGGACCAUCUCCUAAGGCUAAAUACUCUCUAGUGACCGAUAGUGAACCAGUACCGUGAGGGAAAGGUGAAAAGCACCCCGGAAGGGGAGUGAAAUAGAACCUGAAACCGUGUGCUUACAAGUAGUCAGAGCCCGUUAAUGGGUGAUGGCGUGCCUUUUGUAGAAUGAACCGGCGAGUUACGAUUUGAUGCAAGGUUAAGCAGUAAAUGUGGAGCCGUAGCGAAAGCGAGUCUGAAUAGGGCGUUUAGUAUUUGGUCGUAGACCCGAAACCAGGUGAUCUACCCUUGGUCAGGUUGAAGUUCAGGUAACACUGAAUGGAGGACCGAACCGACUUACGUUGAAAAGUGAGCGGAUGAACUGAGGGUAGCGGAGAAAUUCCAAUCGAACCUGGAGAUAGCUGGUUCUCUCCGAAAUAGCUUUAGGGCUAGCCUCAAGUGAUGAUUAUU
RNAcentral lists this ribosomal RNA (450 nucleotides) under Staphylococcus aureus. RNAcentral's name for it is "partial 23S ribosomal RNA". It matches the Rfam family "Bacterial large subunit ribosomal RNA", at positions 444 to 897 of the family's 2925-position model. Lineage: Bacteria; Bacillati; Bacillota; Bacilli; Caryophanales; Staphylococcaceae. The record is from RNAcentral.